This is a long non-coding RNA of Armigeres subalbatus, 382 nucleotides long. RefSeq lists it as uncharacterized. The record is from RefSeq and is a predicted model, not a curated record. NCBI's taxonomy places the organism in Eukaryota, Metazoa, Arthropoda, Insecta, Diptera, Culicidae. The transcript is spliced from 3 exons.
CCCGUACCUAUCAAAGUAGCAUAGACAUCAACGCGAGAAAUGACAGGCAACAUGACAUUGAAACUUCAACUGUCAAAUGCAGCAUACCUUCAACGUGGCAAGAAGACACAGUGCAAUUAUUAGUUGGAUCUACCUAGAGAAAAAUAGUUUCUAAACCUAAAUUACUAUUAUAAUUAGUUAAAAUUCCUACCUAAAUUAGUUUCUAUCAAUUGAAAUAUUCUAAUGAAAUCAAGUUUAGCCGAUAAUUGGGAAACUAAGAUACUUACGCUAAUAGUACGGGAUCGAAAGGUGUUAAACUACGUGAAAUUUGGCUGUUUACCCAUAUUCUAAGUAGACACGCAAAGAAAACAGAAACAAAGGGUUAGUUUGGACACAGUCGGAG